Long non-coding RNA from Oncorhynchus masou masou (cherry salmon), 967 nucleotides. RefSeq lists it as uncharacterized. The transcript has 5 exons. The record is from RefSeq and is a predicted model, not a curated record. Lineage: Eukaryota; Metazoa; Chordata; Actinopteri; Salmoniformes; Salmonidae.
ACUCUGACACCCUCUCACAGAGAAUCAUCUCUUUAACAUUUUAUCAAGCUCACUCUCUUUCUAUAGAGAAAUGUGCUUUUUAUUAUCACAGUCCAAUGAGAGAAUAUCACUCUCUUUCUGUCUAUUCCCUCUACCCCCGUUUCCCAUCUCUCUCUCCCUCUCAGAAACUCUUAAUCUUUCCCGCUGUGCUAUUCGUAAUUCAUGAGGAUUUCCCACAUUUAUCUACAACCAUGUGUGACUGAAUUAGUGGAAGAGGGGAAAUGCAGGGACAGUGUAUUUCCAUGGCAACGGGAGUUGUUGAAGCAUUUUUUCUUCUUCUGGUGUUACUGUGGGGACAAUAGUAAUGGCCCAGGGUGGCAGGCUGGCGGAACGGCACUACAAGCUGGGUUUAGAGAGGUGUGUGUGUGGGUCGGGUGGCAGGGCCUAGUCAGGGCCCGGUGGAGGCAGAAGGUGGAGAGGCAGAACCACGACAGGUCAGAACAGAUCUGUUGACAGCUUGGCUGAGGACCACAACACCGGCAUGGAAGAGUGAUGUCCACCGGCUCUGAGGAGGGGGAGAAUGAGGAGAGGAAGGCACUUCCAGCAAGUGUACUACGACUGGCACACAGAUCUUCUCCUCACACACUGGCUUUACUGACUCUUGCCCACUAGGUGGCACCACAUCCACUGUCAGACCGGCAUCGUCACAGCCAGAGGGAUGUACUGCUUCCGCUACUCCAUGUACAGCAACAACUCUGGCCGUCCCAACUCUGUGGUGUCUCUGAUGAAGAACAGUGAGAUGCUGGUUACUACGUGGAACACUGAUGACAGUAUGAAUGUCCACGAAAGCGCUAGCAACGCAGCGGUAGUGCAACUGGAGGUGGGAGACGGUGUGUAUAUCCAGCUCUGGGCUAACAGGGUCCUCUAUGACGACCGUAAUAACUAUAACACCUUUACUGGGUUCCUACUGUUCCUGUGUAACAAGACC